CCCGCAACGAGCGCAACCCCUCGCAUUCAGUUGCCAUCGGGUAAGUGCCGGGCACUCUGGAAGGACUGCCAUCGACAAGAUGGAGGAAGGUGGGGAGUGACGUCAAGUCAUCAUGGCCCUUACUGUCCAGGGCGACACACGUGCUACAAUGGCCGGCACAACGGGAAGCGAGUUCGCGAGGACGAGCGGAUCCCUCAAAGCCGGUCGCAGUUCGGAUUGAAGUCUGCAACUCGACUUCAUGAAGCUGGAAUCGCUAGUAAUCGUGGAUCAGCCAAGCCGCGGUGAAUACGUUCCCGGGCCUU
RNAcentral lists this ribosomal RNA (302 nucleotides) under uncultured Synergistaceae bacterium. RNAcentral's name for it is "bacterial SSU rRNA". It matches the Rfam family "Bacterial small subunit ribosomal RNA", at positions 1086 to 1382 of the family's 1533-position model. The record is from RNAcentral. Lineage: Bacteria; Thermotogati; Synergistota; Synergistia; Synergistales; Synergistaceae.